AGCGAACGCUGGCGGCAGGCUUAACACAUGCAAGUCGAGCGGAUGUAGCAAUACAUCAGCGGCAGACGGGUGAGUAACGCGUGGGAACAUACCUUUUGGUUCGGAACAACACAGGGAAACUUGUGCUAAUACCGGAUAAGCCCUUACGGGGAAAGAUUUAUCGCCGAAAGAUUGGCCCGCGUCUGAUUAGCUAGUUGGUGAGGUAACGGCUCACCAAGGCGACGAUCAGUAGCUGGUCUGAGAGGAUGAUCAGCCACAUUGGGACUGAGACACGGCCCAAACUCCUACGGGAGGCAGCAGUGGGGAAUAUUGGACAAUGGGCGCAAGCCUGAUCCAGCCAUGCCGCGUGAGUAAUGAAGGCCCUAGGGUUGUAAAGCUCUUUUGUGCGGGAAGAUAAUGACGGUCC
Molecule: ribosomal RNA, 406 nt
Filed under: bacterium Ellin6058
Lineage: Bacteria; Pseudomonadati; Pseudomonadota; Alphaproteobacteria; Hyphomicrobiales; Nitrobacteraceae
Description: bacterial SSU rRNA
Rfam family: Bacterial small subunit ribosomal RNA
Source: RNAcentral